This 399-nucleotide long non-coding RNA is filed under the name Homo sapiens (human). RNAcentral describes it as "HSALNT0336426". Lineage: Eukaryota; Metazoa; Chordata; Mammalia; Primates; Hominidae. The record is from RNAcentral.
ACCUACAAUAAAGAAGAAAAUGGACAGAAAAAAGAUUAUUAACUUUUCUUCCUUUUUUGUUCUUCUGUAGGUCUCAUUCCUGUCAGUUAGACUUGAGGUCAUGCUAUUUCCUGUUGGGGUCACGAGGAUGAAUUAGUGAUUAGACACUUAGGUGCUGGACUCAAAGGGACCUGGCUCCAUCACAUGCAAACUUUUUGUAAAAGAAGAAGGAUGGGUGUAUUCUUUCUUGUUCUACUGCUAGUUUAAAGAACAGGCGACUUCCCUGCUCAGAUUCCAAAUUCCUUAGGAAAACAAGAAGCGACAACAAAACCACACCAGUAACUUCCACUCACAUGUCAGUUUUAAAACAACUUGGGAAAGACAGAGUCUCUGCUUGCUCUGUCACCCAGUUUGGAGGGC